This is a long non-coding RNA of Gallus gallus (chicken), 506 nucleotides long. The record is from Ensembl. Lineage: Eukaryota; Metazoa; Chordata; Aves; Galliformes; Phasianidae.
UGCAAGAUCAGUGCUAUUUCCUUGAUGUCACUACAAGGAGAGAGGAAAGUGGCCAAGACAUCCACUGAAGCUAUCCUGUGCAGUCAGAAUGCUUUACUUCCAAAUGUUUGUAUGUUUGUAUCUGCUCUGCGCAACUAAUGUAUGAGAACACAAGCAAGUCUGAAGUCCUCAGUAUUUUCUUUUGAAGUACACCAUACAUUCAAAUCAGCCAAAUGUUUCUUCUCCUAUUGGGACCUCUGAAGAUGAUUAUUUGCUGCUUUAAGAAUAUAUUAAAGUAAGAGUUCUAUGGAAACUGAGUAUGCUGACUUCAUCCUUAUGAUGAAUAAGGAUCACAUAAGUCAGUUUUGGCUUGAACUUCAAAUGGGGAACACUGUGGAUUCCAAAAACCUACUGUUACAUCAGAAAUGGAAACAGCACCACUUCUAAUGACAUCAAGCGCAGAUUCAUGUGGCAAAUCUCUGCUGGGAUUUCUCUUCCUCUUUCUCUAGCCAAACGACAAUAUAAAU